CAGCAGCCACGGUAAUACGACGGGGGCUAGCGUUGCUCGGAAUGACUGGGCGUAAAGGGCGCGUAGGCGGCGGCCAAAGUCAGGCGUGAAAUUCCCGGGCUCAACCUGGGGGCUGCGUUUGAUACUUGGUUGCUUGAGUGGGGAAGAGGGUCGUGGAAUUCCCAGUGUAGAGGUGAAAUUCGUAGAUAUUGGGAAGAACACCGGUGGCGAAGGCGGCGACCUGGUCCUUUACUGACGCUGAGGCGCGAAAGCGUGGGGAGCAAACAGGAUUAGAUACCCGUGUAGUCCCUGUCUCUUAUAC
This 301-nucleotide ribosomal RNA is filed under the name uncultured bacterium. RNAcentral's name for it is "partial 16S ribosomal RNA". It matches the Rfam family "Bacterial small subunit ribosomal RNA", at positions 509 to 807 of the family's 1533-position model. The record is from RNAcentral.